Molecule: ribosomal RNA, 720 nt
Filed under: uncultured bacterium
Lineage: Bacteria
Description: bacterial SSU rRNA
Rfam family: Bacterial small subunit ribosomal RNA
Source: RNAcentral
CUGGUGCCUAUACUGCAUGUCGAAUGCGCACUUGUGCUUAGUGGCAAAUGGGUGAGCAACACGUACUUAAUCUACCCCCAAGUUUGGGAUAACAGUUGGAAACAAUUGCUAAUACCCAAUACAUAUAAGUUUUGCAUAAUUCUUAUAUAAAAGGAGCGUUUGUUUCGCUAGGGGAUGAGAGUGCGCUACAUUAGUUAGUUGGUAGGGUAAGAGCCUACCAAGACUAUGAUGUAUAGCGGGGCUGAGAAGCUGAACCGCCACACUGGGACUGAGAUACGGCCCAGACUCCUACGGGAGGCAGCAGUAGGGAAUAUUCCACAAUGAGCGAAAGCUUGAUGGAGCAACACAGCGUGCAGGAAGACGACCUUAGGGCUGUAAACUGCUGUUAUGAGGGAAGAAAAAUAAAAUUAGGAAAUGAAUUUUACAUGACGGUACCUCAUCAGAAAGCACCGGCAAACUAUGUGCCAGCAGCCGCGGUAAUACAUAGGGUGCAAGCGUUAUCCGGAAUUAUUGGGCGUAAAGUGUCUGUAGGUGGUAUGUUAAGUCUAGUGUUAAAGACUAGGGCCCAACCCUAGCACGCUCUAGAUACUGACAUGCUAGAGUCAUAGAGAGGUUAGCGGAACUCCUAGUGAAGCGGUGAAAUGUGUAGAUAUUAGGAAGAACACCAAUAGCGGAGGCAGCUAACUGGAUAUGUACUGACACUCAGAGACCAAAGCGUGU